AUUGAACGCUGGCGGCAGGCCUAACACAUGCAAGUCGAGCGGAUGAAGGGAGCUUGCUCCUGGAUUCAGCGGCGGACGGGUGAGUAAUGCCUAGGAAUCUGCCUGGUAGUGGGGGAUAACGUCCGGAAACGGGCGCUAAUACCGCAUACGUCCUGAGGGAGAAAGUGGGGGAUCUUCGGACCUCACGCUAUCAGAUGAGCCUAGGUCGGAUUAGCUAGUUGGUGGGGUAAAGGCCUACCAAGGCGACGAUCCGUAACUGGUCUGAGAGGAUGAUCAGACACACUGGAACUGAGACACGGGCCAGACUCCUACGGAAGGCGACAGUGGGGAAUAUUGGACAAUGGGCGAAAGCCUGAUCCAGCCAUGCCGCGUGUGUGAAGAAGGUCUUCGGAUAGUAAAGCAAUUUAAGUUGGGAGGAAGGGCAGUAAGUUAAUACCUUGCUGUUUUGACGUUACCGACAGAAUAAGCACCGGCUAACUUCGUG
Molecule: ribosomal RNA, 484 nt
Filed under: uncultured bacterium
Lineage: Bacteria
Description: partial 16S ribosomal RNA
Rfam family: Bacterial small subunit ribosomal RNA
Source: RNAcentral